ACAAGAAGGAAACCAAGUCUUCUAAACAUCUUUUAACAAUGAAAACUUCACCACAAAUUAUUUAUAAUCAUACCUGAGUUCUCAAGGGUCUUUGAUCAUAAGAACUUCAAUUCUUUUCGUCAAUCUUCAUCUUCUAAUUCUUCGAGACUCCAUCCAAACCAUCACGAAAUUCGCCAACUUAUAAAAUCCUUAACAACUCCUUUAACUAACGAGAAGCAUACGCGAUCACCUUCCCGUCCUGUAUUAAAACAUAGCCCAAUCCAUUAAAGGAAGCAUCACUAUAAAUCACAUAUCCCGCUCCAGCAAUU
Molecule: long non-coding RNA, 308 nt
Filed under: Ananas comosus (pineapple)
Lineage: Eukaryota; Viridiplantae; Streptophyta; Magnoliopsida; Poales; Bromeliaceae
Description: long non-coding RNA (ACOM_LNC013508)
Source: RNAcentral